ACGAACGCUGGCGGCGUGCUUAACACAUGCAAGUCGAACGGAAAGGCCCCUUUUGGGGUACUCGAGUGGCGAACGGGUGAGUAACACGUGAGUAACCUGCCCUUGACUUCGGGAUAACUUCAGGAAACUGGGGCUAAUACCUGAUAGGAAUCCUUGCUGCAUGGUGUGGGUUGGAAAGCUUCGGCGGUUUUUGUUUGACUCGCGGCUUAUCAGCUUGUUGGUUGGGUAGUGGGUUACCUAGGCUUUGACGGGUAGCCGGCCUGAGAUGGCGACCGGCCACAUUGGGACUGAGAGACGGCACAGACUCCUACGGGAGGCAGAAGUGGGGAAUAUUGCAAAAGGGGCGGAAGCCUGAUGCAGAAACGCCGCGGGCGGGAUGACGGCCUUCGGGUUGAAAACCGCUUUCAGCAGGGGCGAAGCUUGUGGUGACGGUACCUGCAGAAGAAGCACCGGCUAACUACGUG
This 464-nucleotide ribosomal RNA is filed under the name uncultured bacterium. RNAcentral describes it as "partial 16S ribosomal RNA". It matches the Rfam family "Bacterial small subunit ribosomal RNA", at positions 29 to 507 of the family's 1533-position model. The record is from RNAcentral.